This 254-nucleotide ribosomal RNA is filed under the name uncultured bacterium. Its description in RNAcentral is "partial 16S ribosomal RNA". It matches the Rfam family "Bacterial small subunit ribosomal RNA", at positions 524 to 776 of the family's 1533-position model. The record is from RNAcentral.
UACGUAGGGUGCAAGCGUUGUCCGGAAUUAUUGGGCGUAAAGAGCUCGUAGGCGGUUUGUCGCGUCUGCUGUGAAAACGCGGGGCUCAACUCCGCGCCUGCAGUGGGUACGGGCAGACUAGAGUGCAGUAGGGGGAGACUGGAAUUCCUGGUGUAGCGGUGGAAUGCGCAGAUAUCAGGAGGAACACCGGUGGCGAAGGCGGGUCUCUGGGCUGUAACUGACGCUGAGGAGCGAAAGCGUGGGUAGCGAACAGG